GGGUGCAAGCGUUACUCGGAAUUACUGGGCGUAAAGCGUGCGUAGGCGGUUUGUUAAGUCUGUCGUGAAAGCCCUGGGCUCAACCUGGGAAUUGCGAUGGAUACUGGCAAGCUAGAGUACGGUAGAGGAUGGUGGAAUUCCCGGUGUAGCGGUGAAAUGCGUAGAGAUCGGGAGGAACACCCGUGGCGAAGGCGGCCAUCUGGACCAGUACUGACGCUGAGGCACGAAAGCGUGGGGAGCAAACAGGA
This 248-nucleotide ribosomal RNA is filed under the name uncultured Dokdonella sp. RNAcentral describes it as "partial 16S ribosomal RNA". It matches the Rfam family "Bacterial small subunit ribosomal RNA", at positions 530 to 777 of the family's 1533-position model. Lineage: Bacteria; Pseudomonadati; Pseudomonadota; Gammaproteobacteria; Lysobacterales; Rhodanobacteraceae. The record is from RNAcentral.